This 73-nucleotide microRNA precursor is filed under the name Lotus japonicus. Its description in RNAcentral is "miR11159 stem-loop (lja-MIR11159)". The record is from miRBase by way of RNAcentral. Lineage: Eukaryota; Viridiplantae; Streptophyta; Magnoliopsida; Fabales; Fabaceae.
UUUGAUAACAGUUUCCAAAACAGUUUUCAGUUUUUAAAAACUGAAAACUUGUUUGGUAAGACCUGUUUUCAAA